Molecule: long non-coding RNA, 2560 nt
Organism: Daucus carota subsp. sativus
Lineage: Eukaryota; Viridiplantae; Streptophyta; Magnoliopsida; Apiales; Apiaceae
Exons: 5
Source: RefSeq, a predicted model, not a curated record
ACCUGAGCAAAUUAAUUGUUGGCUCGGUCAUUUUAAACCUGAUUUCCAGCCCUGCUAAUUAAACCCCACGCACAUGAUACCCAUAGAUAUAUGCACAGAUUUCUCCGCAGUUUCCUCCGCAGACUCUUAUAGCUUCUCCUCCUCAUACUCUCUUUAAUCGUAAAUCCAUGCUCAUGUAAAUGAAUUAGCAUAUAAGAUGAUUAUAUGAUCACCGAUACUCUUAUCAAAUUAGGGGUUUUUGCUUCAAUUUAGGGGUUUCCAAUUUAAUUGUCCCAGUCUGUCAAUCGACGAAAACUUCCGAUGAGGACUACAAAGGUGCGUCUAAAAGUGGAAAUGUGAACUAGUGCAUAGACAAGGGAGACGCAUCCAAGUAUGCAACACACUAAUCCUCGUCAUCAACUUCUCUGGACGCACCAAUUACCUCAUUCUGCUUGCUUGCUCGGCUCCUUUCGUCUUCCGACCGGAUGGAUGAACUGUUUUGCUAUUAUACUAAUCAAGAAGCCCCUCCAGUUGUGUAAUCAUAUUUAAUUCCUGUCUGGAGGUCUUGGCAUUAUCUUUCCGAAGCAGACGACGACAACUCAAAAAAUGUGCUCAGGCCAAUGAAAGUAAUAAAAAAUUGAGACUUUAGAUGACGUUGAGUAGUGAAUAUUUGGAGGUCUCACUGGGAAUAACUGGAAUGACAGUCCAAGUUAGCAAUCUUUCUUCUGAAGACUAGAUAGGGCUGAGAGCUACAAUUCUGAUUAUGGCAAUUCUGGUGGCAGAUUUAAUUUGGAUAACAGAUCAGAAAUUUUUGAUGGCUUGGAUGAGAGUUUUAACACCUUGUCAGAUGGAAUGGAUGAUAAGUUAAAAGAAGCUGCCACUUGCUACAGUGCUCCUGAAAUUUUGAAGAUCCAGAAUAUGAGUACAGGUCGGACGUAAACUGGAGUCGAAUUGGGGACACUUAUGAACUCAGAGUAUAAAUGAUAAACAAAGGCAGGUUUCUUUCUUGAUUUCAAAACUUUUUUAUUGCUGCAACGGAAGGCAUGCAUGCAUGAUGCACCUGUAUAUAAGCUUUUUAUCACAUCUCUUAGCUAGAUCACUUAAUCUACUGGUUUCAUUUCCUAUAGUUGGCCUAUAUAACUAGACUACAACCAAAAACCUUAAUCAUGCAGACAAACACAUCUAUAUAUAUAUAUAAAGAGGUUUAAAGAUACUAUUUCUAAUCUUUUCAUAUAAAUUUUACAUGGCAUACAUAACAUAUAUUUAUACAGGAAAUAGACUUUUUUUUCUUCCUAAAAAACACAUGUUUAGCUCAUUGCAUAUGAGUGACCAAAUAAUGAUAGAAAUGAUAAAUAAAAAUGUAUAUUUGUAUAUAGCAGACUAAUACAUAAAAGUGAUAUCUUAUUUGGCAUCCUAUGCUAACCGUAUUUAGGCAUUAAUAAAUUUUGCUUGGAGAGUUUUAUUAUUCUCUUAAAUAGAGUAAAGAUCAUUGCAACCUGUAGCAUAGAUAUAUGAAUUCAUACAUGUUUAUUUUUGGCAAUAUUAAUAACCUUGAAUUGCCAACCUUUGUUUCAUACAUUUAAGGAGCCUGUGUUUUUUGAGAGCUUUAAUCAGCUGAGUUAACGCAUAAGUUUACUAAUUUGAAAGUCAAGUUUAAUUCAAAAAGUAUUUACACCAAAUCACUUGGUUUGUAUGAGUUGUGGUUGAUCGUUAGUUUAGGCAUACCUGAAGGUGAUGUAUUCUACUUGGGAGCAUCGACUACAGAGCUCCGCAGUUUGCUGCCAGCUCUUUCUAAAAUUCUGAUAUCUCUGCACUAAUAUCAGCAAAGUCUGGACUUCUCUAAACUGUCUUAUGUGGCUCCGUUUUUUAAGGGAACAUCAAUUAAGUGGUUUUGUCCCUCAAACUUAGAUUGAUUAAAAAAUUGGUGACAAAUCGACAUAUUCCACUAUUUAUUUCAGCUACUAAAGAUAUUAGUGCAAGAAACAUAAGUAGUUCCAUGUCCAAGAAAGCAGGUGAUAAUCAUGAGAAAAUGGAGCGUCGGAGCUUUAAGGACUUCUUGGAACACUCCAAGCAUUUGCUCACAUCAUCUGACAGUGGCCCGCUAAGAUUUCCCUGUUCGAGUGCUCUUCCACACCGGAAAACUGUCCUCUUUUGCUCUCUUUACCAGGUCUUGAUGAGUUGGACUUGGACUUUCUUUGAAAUAUCAAAGGCUUGGACAGUAAGUUCAUUAGUACUCUCAAGUCUGCUCGGUACAAAUCGGGGAUUUGAACUUUAGUGAGACGUCUAGGGCUCAAGAUCCGUGGAGGCUAUUUAAAUUUGUAAAUUACCAUUUCCAAAUUGUUUAAGAAUGCUAUUGCCAAAUGCCAACGGUUAAUUUUGUUUCUUUUGUUCCUUCGAAGGAAUUUUGAUAUAUGGUGCUUGCAUAUUCCUAUUGAUGAUUGGAAACGGACAUCAUUUCCGGGUCCCUUUCAAGGUGAGAAGUUUGUUCCAAAAUGACACUGUCAAGUGUUAAGGGUGACUCUGAUGCACUAAUUUGGAUAUUUACGUAUUGUAUUAUGUAUAGUGGUAUCCUUUCUUGAUA